RNAcentral lists this ribosomal RNA (1353 nucleotides) under Triticum aestivum (bread wheat). Its description in RNAcentral is "partial small subunit ribosomal RNA". Lineage: Eukaryota; Viridiplantae; Streptophyta; Magnoliopsida; Poales; Poaceae. The record is from RNAcentral.
AUGGCUAUAGAAAUAGAAUCAUCUGAGUUGAGGAGAAUUACUAACGAUUUUUCGGAUGCCCAGAAAGUUGGAAGUGGUGGCUAUGGAGACGUUUACAAGGCAGUCUACAAUGGGGAAGCCAUAGCAGUGAAGUUGCUUCAUGCGACCAAAGGCAUUGACGACAAACAAUUUAUUAAGGAACUCCGUAACCAUAUGAAGGUCCAACAUCCAAACAUUGUACGGCUAGUUGGGUAUUGCAAUGAAGAAACUAAGAAAUAUAUUGAGCUACCUGAUGGCACGUCUGUUUUUGGUAGACACAUAUACAAAGUGCUCUGCUUUGAAUAUAUGGUCGGUAGAAGCUUAGACAAGCGUCUGUCUGGAAUUUCUCUGGGAGAUGAAUGGUGCACACAUUACCAAAUAAUAAAGGGGACUUGUGAAGGUUUGUGUUAUCUUCACAAUGGAUGUGAAAGUCGGAUCCUCCACUUGGAUCUAAAGCCUGCCAAUGUGUUACUUGACAAGAGCAUGAAACCGAAAAUUGCGGAUUUUGGAUUGUCAAGGAUCUACACUGCAAGCCGUAGCCAUACCAAAGUUGAUUCAGUUUCAGGGACAACGAAAUACAUGGCGCCUGAAUUAAUACGUGGGAGCAUGAUGUCAGACAAGACUGAUGUCUACGGUUUAGGUGUUACAAUCAUAGAAGUAAUUAGGGGACCUGGUGGUUUUGAAAUUUAUCACGACUCAGGGGACACAAAUUUUGUUGAAGAUGUGUGUGCAUAUUGGAGGAAGAGGGAUAGCAGAACAAAUUUAUAUCAAGUGGAGACAUGCACCAAAAUUGCAGUACGUUGUCUCAAUCAUGAUAGAAGGAAGAGACCCACAAUAAAGGAGAUUGUAGAAAACUUGAAUGGUAUAGAAACUCAGGGUUUGAGCAAGGAUCUCCAUGCCCUCACGGUGAAUUCUUGCCUCCCUAUUCCAGACAAGAUUUCCACUGCCAUUUCAGGAAGGGGGGCACUGGAUGUGGUGAUUGUGUAUGCCUUUGAUUGUACUGACUCAACCCCAGCCUGGUACACAGUGGAUAAUGGGAUCUUUUGGUUGGUGCAAGAGAAGCUAACCAACUUGCAUGAUAGUUGCAUGGGCUAUAUUUACGUCAUGUCAACGCCUAACACAUACACAUCGGAUAUGAAAGUAGUUGACUCAGCUGAGACAAAGCAAACUGGCUACACGGGAUUCGCUUGGCGCAGGAUGACCUGCAGUAAAAAUAUGGCAUCAGGCCUUGCUGAGGCGCAUAAAAUGAUCAGCAAUCGUGGCCACCACAACGGCAUCAUCUUGUUCUUCUCUGAUGGGUUAAUAAACAAUGGGGACUUUUUUGAUGGAACAUAG